This 24-nucleotide non-coding RNA is filed under the name Cricetulus griseus (Chinese hamster). Lineage: Eukaryota; Metazoa; Chordata; Mammalia; Rodentia; Cricetidae. The record is from RNAcentral.
CUUGGACUUUCUCACCCUGGGGCA